CCUACGGGAGGCAGCAGUGGGGAAUUUUGGACAAUGGGCGCAAGCCUGAUCCAGCAAUGCCGCGUGAGUGAAGAAGGCCUUCGGGUUGUAAAGCUCUUUUGUCAGGGAAGAAACGGUCUACUCUAAUACAGUGGGCUAAUGACGGUACCUGAAGAAUAAGCACCGGCUAACUACGUGCCAGCAGCCGCGGUAAUACGUAGGGUGCAAGCGUUAAUCGGAAUUACUGGGCGUAAAGCGUGCGCAGGCGGUUAUAUAAGUCAGAUGUGAAAUCCCCGGGCUCAACCUGGGAACUGCAUUUGAGACUGUAUGGCUAGAGUGUGUCAGAGGGGGGUAGAAUUCCACGUGUAGCAGUGAAAUGCGUAGAUAUGUGGAGGAAUACCGAUGGCGAAGGCAGCCCCCUGGGAUAACACUGACGCUCAUGCACGAAAGCGUGGGGAGCAAACAGGAUUAGAUACCCUGGUAGUCCACGCCCUAAACGAUGUCUACUAGUUGUCGGGACUUAAUUGUCUUGGUAACGCAGCUAACGCGUGAAGUAGACCGCCUGGGGAGUACGGUCGCAAGNUUAAAACUUAAAUGAAUUGACG
RNAcentral lists this ribosomal RNA (584 nucleotides) under uncultured bacterium. RNAcentral's name for it is "bacterial SSU rRNA". It matches the Rfam family "Bacterial small subunit ribosomal RNA", at positions 338 to 915 of the family's 1533-position model. The record is from RNAcentral.